Molecule: small nuclear RNA, 104 nt
Organism: Cercocebus atys (sooty mangabey)
Lineage: Eukaryota; Metazoa; Chordata; Mammalia; Primates; Cercopithecidae
Source: Ensembl
GUGCUCACUUUGACAGCACAUAUACCAAAACUGGAACUAUUCAGAGGUUAGCAUGGCCCCUGAGCAAGGAUGACAUGCAUAUUUGUGAAGCAUUUUAUAUAUUU